This 495-nucleotide ribosomal RNA is filed under the name uncultured bacterium. Its description in RNAcentral is "bacterial SSU rRNA". It matches the Rfam family "Bacterial small subunit ribosomal RNA", at positions 88 to 615 of the family's 1533-position model. The record is from RNAcentral.
GAGUACAGUGGCGUACGGGUGAGUAACACGUGGAUAAUCUACCCUCUAGUGGGGAAUACCGUUGGGAAACCGACGACAAUACCGCAUAAGCUCGAGAGAGGAAAGCAGCAAUGCGCUGGAGGAGGAGUCCGCGGCUGAUUAGCUAGUUGGUGAGGUAAUGGCUCACCAAGGCUUAAAUCAGUAGCCGGCCUGAGAGGGCACACGGCCACACUGGCACUGAAACACGGGCCAGACUCCUACGGGAGGCAGCAGUGGGGAAUCUUGCACAAUGGGGGAAACCCUGAUGCAGCGACGCCGCGUGAGCGAUGAAGCCCUUCGGGGUGUAAAGCUCUUUCGGCAGGGAAGAUUAUGACGGUACCUGCAGAAGCAGCUGCGGCUAACUACGUGCCAGCAGCCGCGGUAAUACGUAGGCAGCAAGCGUUGUUCGGAGUUACUGGGCGUAAAGGGUGUGUAGGCGGUUGGAUAAGUGUGGUGUGAAAUCUCCCGGCUCAACUG